GAAUUAAACAAGGGCUGUUGUUUUUGCCUGUCAUGGAGUUCCGUUCAUUCUGAACAUGUCACCGGGGACUUUGGAAUGUGUAUCCAUAACUCCCUGAUUUUCAACCACAUUCCAGCCUGCCUGACUCAUGAAGCGUGGAGCGACCCAGGAACAUCCCAGCUCCUCAUGUCCCACAUUCUUCAGGCUUUCUCUUAGUUUUGGCAUGUGCAUGUAAAUGUCAACAGGUGAGGCAUGGUGGCUCACACGUGUAAUUCUAGCACUUUGGGAGGCCGAGGCAGGUGGAGCACCUGAGGUCAGGAGUUCAAGACCAGCCUGGUCAACAUGGCGAAACCCCGUCUCUACUAAAAAUACGAAAUUAGCCAGGCGUGGUGGCGGACGCCUGUAAUCCCAGCUAUAAUCCCAGCUACUCAGGAGGCUGAAGCAGGAGAAUCGCUUGAACCUGGGAGGCAGAGCUUGCAGUGAGCCGAGAUCACGCCACUACACUGCAGCCUGGGUGACAGAGUGAGACUCCAUCUCAAAAAACAACAACAAAAUAAAUAAAUAAAUAAAAAUAAAAUGUCUUGUUCUCUUUUUUCCUCCAG
This 581-nucleotide long non-coding RNA is filed under the name Homo sapiens (human). RNAcentral describes it as "HSALNT0290048". The record is from RNAcentral. Lineage: Eukaryota; Metazoa; Chordata; Mammalia; Primates; Hominidae.